Molecule: ribosomal RNA, 590 nt
Filed under: Penicillium sp. ZS20-9
Lineage: Eukaryota; Fungi; Ascomycota; Eurotiomycetes; Eurotiales; Aspergillaceae
Description: eukaryotic LSU rRNA
Rfam family: 5.8S ribosomal RNA (bases 207-360)
Source: RNAcentral
UCCGUAGGUGAACCUGCGGAAGGAUCAUUACCGAGUGAGGGCCCUCUGGGUCCAACCUCCCACCCGUGUUUAUUUUACCUUGUUGCUUCGGCGGGCCCGCCUUAACUGGCCGCCGGGGGGCUUACGCCCCCGGGCCCGCGCCCGCCGAAGACACCCUCGAACUCUGUCUGAAGAUUGAAGUCUGAGUGAAAAUAUAAAUUAUUUAAAACUUUCAACAACGGAUCUCUUGGUUCCGGCAUCGAUGAAGAACGCAGCGAAAUGCGAUACGUAAUGUGAAUUGCAAAUUCAGUGAAUCAUCGAGUCUUUGAACGCACAUUGCGCCCCCUGGUAUUCCGGGGGGGCAUGCCUGUCCGAGCGUCAUUGCUGCCCUCAAGCCCGGCUUGUGUGUUGGGCCCCGUCCCCCGAUCUCCGGGGGACGGGCCCGAAAGGCAGCGGCGGCACCGCGUCCGGUCCUCGAGCGUAUGGGGCUUUGUCACCCGCUCUGUAGGCCCGGCCGGCGCUUGCCGAUCAACCCAAAUUUUUAUCCAGGUUGACCUCGGAUCAGGUAGGGAUACCCGCUGAACUUAAGCAUAUCAAUAAGCGGAGGAAAU